GCGCUAGUAGCUCAACUGGCAGAGCAGCUGACUCUUAAUCAGCGGGUUCGGGGUUCGAGUCCCUGCUGGCGCA
Segniliparus rugosus ATCC BAA-974 is the source of this 73-nucleotide transfer RNA. It matches the Rfam family "tRNA". Rfam says of the family: Transfer RNA (tRNA) molecules are approximately 80 nucleotides in length. Their secondary structure includes four short double-helical elements and three loops (D, anti-codon, and T loops). The record is from Rfam. Lineage: Bacteria; Bacillati; Actinomycetota; Actinomycetes; Mycobacteriales; Segniliparaceae.